GACGAACGCUGGCGGCGUGCUUAACACAUGCAAGUCGAACGGAAAGGCCCUGCUUUUGUGGGGUGCUCGAGUGGCGAACGGGUGAGUAACACGUGAGUAACCUGCCCUUGACUUUGGGAUAACUUCAGGAAACUGGGUCUAAUACCGGAUAGGAGCUCCUGCUGCAUGGUGGGGGUUGGAAAGUUUCGGCGGUUGGGGAUGGACUCGCGGCUUAUCAGCUUGUGGGUGGGGUAGUGGCUUACCAAGUCUUUGACGGGUGGCCGGCCUGAGAGGGUGACCGGGCACAUUGGGACUGAGAUACGGCCCAGACGGCAACGGGAGGCAGCAGUGGGGAGUAUUGCACAAUGGGCGGAAGCCUGAUGCAGAGACGCCGCGUGCGGGAUGACGGCCUUCGGGUUGUAAACCGCUUUCGCCUGUGACGAAGCGUGAGUGACGGUAAUGUGUAAAGAAGCACCGGCUAACUACGUG
RNAcentral lists this ribosomal RNA (468 nucleotides) under uncultured bacterium. Its description in RNAcentral is "partial 16S ribosomal RNA". It matches the Rfam family "Bacterial small subunit ribosomal RNA", at positions 28 to 507 of the family's 1533-position model. The record is from RNAcentral.